GAGAUUUCAGAGAAUAUAGAUUUUUCUAAGUUUAAAUUAAAAAGAGAUUUUAAAAUUAAAUAGAGAUUUUAGAGAAUAUAGAUUCUUCUAAGUCUAAAUUAGAAAGAGAUUUGAAAAUUAAAUUGUUGGAUGUAGAGAGAUUAGUUGUUAUUAGGAUGAGAAUGUGGGAAAGAGAGAGGGAAAAGGGUAUAGGUUUUGUUAAAGGUGGG
This 209-nucleotide long non-coding RNA is filed under the name Elaeis guineensis (African oil palm). RNAcentral describes it as "long non-coding RNA (EGUI_LNC028226)". The record is from RNAcentral. Lineage: Eukaryota; Viridiplantae; Streptophyta; Magnoliopsida; Arecales; Arecaceae.